GAUGAACGCUAGCGGCAGGCCUAAUACAUGCAAGUCGAACGGUAACAUGAGUAGCAAUACUUGAUGACGAGUGGCGCACGGGUGCGUAACGCGUAUGCAAUCUGCCUUCAACUGGUGAAUAGCCCGAAGAAAUUCGGAUUAAUACACCAUAGUAUAUUUGAGUGGCAUCAUUUAAAUAUUAAAACUCCGGUGGUUGAAGAUGAGCAUGCGUGACAUUAGCUAGUUGGUGAGGUAACGGCUCACCAAGGCUACGAUGUCUAGGGGAUCUGAGAGGAUUGACCCCCACACUGGUACUGGGACACGGACCAGACUCCUACGGGAGGCAGCAGUAAGGAAUAUUGGACAAUGGUCGCAAGACUGAUCCAGCCAUGCCGCGUGCAGGAUGACAGCCCUAUGGGUCGUAAACUGCUUUUGUGCGAGAAAAAACCCCUCUACGUGUAGAGGGCUGAUUGUAUCGUAAGAAUAAGGAUCGGCUAAUUCCGUGCCAGCCGCCGCGGUAA
Molecule: ribosomal RNA, 500 nt
Filed under: uncultured bacterium
Lineage: Bacteria
Description: partial 16S ribosomal RNA
Rfam family: Bacterial small subunit ribosomal RNA
Source: RNAcentral